RNAcentral lists this ribosomal RNA (253 nucleotides) under uncultured bacterium. RNAcentral's name for it is "partial 16S ribosomal RNA". It matches the Rfam family "Bacterial small subunit ribosomal RNA", at positions 524 to 776 of the family's 1533-position model. The record is from RNAcentral.
GACAGAGGGUGCAACCGUUGCUCGGAAUUACUGGGCGUAAAGCGCGUGUAGGCGGAUUGGUAAGUCGGGUGUGAAAAUCCAGGGCUCAACCCUGGACCUGCAUUCGAUACGGGCAGACUAGAGUUCGGUAGGGGAGACUGGAAUUCCUGGUGUAGCGGUGAAAUGCGCAGAUAUCAGGAGGAACACCGAUGGCGAAGGCAGGUCUCUGGGCCACUACUGACGCUGAGAAGCGAAAGCAUGGGGAGCGAACAGG